UCUCCAGCUGUUUUCGGACUACAAUUCCCAUCAUCCCUGACUGGUCUUGCUAGCUAGGGAUGAUGUGAGUUGUAGUCCAAAACAGCUGGAGA
Podarcis lilfordi (Lilford's wall lizard) is the source of this 92-nucleotide non-coding RNA. NCBI's taxonomy places the organism in Eukaryota, Metazoa, Chordata, Lepidosauria, Squamata, Lacertidae. The record is from the annotation of a GenBank genome assembly.